RNAcentral lists this long non-coding RNA (2664 nucleotides) under Homo sapiens (human). RNAcentral describes it as "HSALNT0355340". The record is from RNAcentral. Lineage: Eukaryota; Metazoa; Chordata; Mammalia; Primates; Hominidae.
GGCCAGGCCUGCAAGCGGUGCCUCCUCCCAGCCCCACCCUGCCUUUUGUCUUUGUCUCUGACAUCUGCGUUCCUUCUGAGUGUGCUUUGCUUCUUUCUGCUGCUCGAUGGCUAAUAGGAUUGAGCGGGAAGGCGCCAGGAGAGCCGGCAGCCCGGCCUGGGAGGGGCUCUCACUCUUCCUCUGCCAGAAGCCUUAUCGAGCGCAGGGUGUUUGACUUCAGAAACACAUCCCCACGGCUUUCCUUUCCGCCUUCCUUCUGGGACUGAUUUGUUUACUUCUUUCAGAGGUUCGCCGUCCCUCUUUCUGCAGGGGUUUGCUGGAUCACAGGUCCCCAGUGCCCCGGACAUAGUGUGUGAGGAAUGCGGGUAUGAGAGAUACUAACAUAGGCAAAGUCGGCUCAUCUCAUCCAACCUCACCACCCUGUGCAUUGCAACCCCACAGUGCAAUGUAAAGAUGGGGAAACAGGCCCAGAGACUCAAGAGAAAUGAAACGAGUGGAGAUUGAGACUGAACUGGACCGGGAUCCGGGCCCCACAGCUGGGCUUGUCCCGAGGCUGUGUGCUGCCCCCGGAGCUCCUUGGAUGGAGAAGCGCUCCCUGCCCCUCCCUGCUCCAUGCCUGGCUUAGACACACGGCGGCCCUGCUCAUGCCUGAAAUUCCACCCUUAGCCACCCUCCCCUGUUUGGCAUUGCCCUCGCACCCCCUCUCGAGGGACACAGAAACCCCGCGUGUGGGUGUCCUCACUGCAGGUCUCCCUACCUGGCAGGCGGGGAAUGUUUUGGGGCAGGUGGUGGGCAAUGGAGGAGAAACAGUAAGCAGGGAUUUCAGGAAGAAGAAAACGCCAGCAAGAUCUGAUCCUGGUCCUCAAAGAGCAUGGAGACCCUCUUUAUACAAAUGGGAAUACUGAGGUAUGCAGUUCGAGAGGAUUGACCGAGGCCAUUUGGCUGGUUGAAGAGCGAUGCUGCGUGUCCAGAGCAGCGGGUGUGGGAGGCAGAGCCUGGAGCUCCCAGAGCCGGCGGCCCACGGCCUCGCCUCCAGCCAGGAGGGUGCGGAAUUCUCCCCCACCCAGCAGAGGCUCUGGCCAUCUGUCUCCAAGGAUGCGGGGGAGCGGACCGGCUGUGCCGCUCUAGGGCUGCUCCGCCUGACAGACAGCAGUGUCGACCACCCAUGUUUGCUGCACAGACUCUAGCUUCCACACCCCUCCCCACCCCAGCAGCCUGGGGAAGGAAGGCUGGAGGUCCCUGCAUGACGGGUGAGGAGAGAGGACAGGAGCCCGGUGCUCUGAACACCGCCCCAGCCCAGCUGCACGUCAGGACCCCGCACUGGCCUCUUACAUUGAGAAGCCAAGACCCACCCAAAACCCAGCUAUCAAAGUCUCUGGGGACAGCACCAGCAGGGCAGAGGGCGUUGGUUCCCUUAGAAUGUGCUAGAAGGCUCAUCCCUGCAGGAGGUGCCCCUGCAGGCAUCCUUGCCCCCACACUGCCUGGUGCUGCCCACCUGCUCACUUGCAGGUGACCCUAGUUUCUCAGUGGCUCGGCAGCCUCGCGGGCUGUUGUAACACUGACACCACGUCUGUGAGAUCAUUGGCUUGGAAGAUUCAGCUCAGAAUUGGAUAGAAGGGCCCUGCCCUGCCAGGCACAGCUGCCGGCCCUUGUCACCUGCAGCUGCAUGAGAAACUAAGGCUCAAACCAAAUCCUUCUGGACAGAAAAGCAGGUCCCCCUCCACUACCCCUUCGUCUGGGCUCUCGGUCAGCGGGGUCAGGGUGGCCGGGACAGUCACUCUCAUUUCCAGAGGAGGCGAGAGGCAGAUGAAGGCCAUGGACAGCAAGCCAUGGGGCCACAGCACAGCCUCAGGUCGUUGCUGACACACCUGCGCCUCCCACAGCCCUCCCCAGGAAAGCCGCGGCAGAGCUCACCCCACUCCCAGGGUGCUCACCUGGGACCUCCUCACCUCUGCACCUGCCCUGGGUAUCCUCAGCCGUGACCCUGGCCUGGCAGUGCCGGCGGACAGGUUGCAACCAGCCCAGCUCCCCAGGGGUGAGAGGGGCCCAUCACCGGCCACCCACAGGCAUCCCUGGGUCUGCUUUUUGGAGCAGUGUCCGGGGUUCCCUUCAUAUCCUUUAUAUCUAUGUGAACCUGACCGGCACACUCACUCCAGGCCCAGGUGUUCUGUAAACACUGAACACCAUGCUGUUAACCAAGGUUACGUUAAAAAGUGACUAUGUGGCCAGGAAAUAGAUUUUGUAUAGUUAUGUGCUGUUAGGAUAGAUACGGGUUUUCGUCUGCGGCUCCUGGCUUAUAACUCCCAUAGCACUUGUUCCCAUUUGCGUUAGAAUGUUGGGGGUGUUGAGCCUCAUGGGCAGCCUCUGCCUUCUCCUGCCCUCCUUUCACCUGCCCCAAGGCGGCACCCUAACUUUCUCCUGCCUUUCGGAUUGUGGGUCUUAAGACCCUCCCAUGAGAGGGUCCCAUCCUAUGCCAUGGGGGAAGGAAUGCUGACAUCAUGAAGCUUCCAUAAAAUCCCAAGAGGACUCGGUUCAGUGCGGUUCCUGGAGUGUGGCGCGCCCAGCAAGGAUGUGGGAGCUCUGCGUCCCUUCCUCCCACUUCGGUCUACGCAUCUCUUCAUCUGCAAUAUUCUUUUUCAUUAAUCUAUAAAUGUGUUUGCCUGA